AUAUUGGACAAUGGGCGCAAGCCUGAUCCAGCCAUGCCGCGUGAGUGAAGAAGGCCUNNNGGUUGNACAGCUCUUUCACCCGCNAAGNUGAUGACGGUAGCGGGAGAAGAAGCCCCGGCUAACUCCGUGCCAGCAGCCGCGGUAAUACGGAGGGGGCAAGCGUUGUUCGGAUUUACUGGGCGUAAAGGGCGCGUAGGCGGAUGUCCGCGUCAGAGGUGAAAGCCCCGGGCUCAACCUGGGAACUGCCUUUGAAACGGGACAUCUUGAGUUCGGAAGAGGGUAGCGGAAUUCCCAGUGUAGAGGUGAAAUUCGUAGAUAUUGGGAAGAACACCAGUAGCGAAGGCGGCUACCUGGUCCGACACUGACGCUGAGGCGCGAAAGCGUGGGGAGCAAAC
Molecule: ribosomal RNA, 395 nt
Filed under: uncultured bacterium
Lineage: Bacteria
Description: partial 16S ribosomal RNA
Rfam family: Bacterial small subunit ribosomal RNA
Source: RNAcentral